CAGGGAGACAAUAAAUUGAUUGUGAUGUCUAAGUUUUUUAUUCUUAGGCCGCAAUCCUGUCACCUCAAGGUCGAUCGGUACCUCAGAUUUGAGAAUUAAUUUUAUAAUUUUUUCUUUCAUUUCAGUUCCUAAACUUGUCUAGGUCACACCCAACAAAGGUUUCUCCUGGGCCAUUAGCUCAGGUGGUUAGAGCGCACCCCUGAUAAGGGUGAGGUCCCUGGUUCAAGUCCAGGAUGGCCCAUUCGUUGUUGGGGGUAUAGCUCAGUUGGUAGAGCGCCUGCUUUGCAAGCAGGAUGUCAGCGGUUCGAGUCCGCUUACCUCCACUGAAAACUAUCCUGAUAACUAAAUUCUGGAGAAAAAAUUUGUAGAUGUGGCUUAGAAUUGUUUAUUGAAAAGAACCUAGCUUCUUAUCAUCUUUUAUAUAGUUGAUAACAUGCUGGGCUCCCAUGGAUUAUUUUCAUGAGAAUUCAGUAGAACCUUGAAAACUGCAUAGAUUAGAAAGAAUAAAGCAUCUCAUGGAUGCAUAAUUCUGUUUUAAUAAUUUAGCCUUAAAACUAAAUUAUUAUUAUAAGAAUUCAUGUUUAAUUCUUGAGUAAGAGCCGAGCACAAUUGAUUUUUUUGAUUGUAUUUAA
This 632-nucleotide transfer RNA is filed under the name uncultured Synechococcus sp. Its description in RNAcentral is "16S-23S ribosomal RNA intergenic spacer". The stretch from base 251 to 323 matches the Rfam family "tRNA". The record is from RNAcentral. Lineage: Bacteria; Bacillati; Cyanobacteriota; Cyanophyceae; Synechococcales; Synechococcaceae.